Molecule: ribosomal RNA, 301 nt
Filed under: uncultured bacterium
Lineage: Bacteria
Description: partial 16S ribosomal RNA
Rfam family: Bacterial small subunit ribosomal RNA
Source: RNAcentral
CAGCCGCCACGGUAAGACAGAAGAUGCAAGCGUUGUUCGGAAUUAUUGGGCGUAAAGGGUGCGUAGGCGGUUUGACAAGUCUUGUGUGAAAUCUCUGGGCUCAACCCAGAGUCUGCACGGGAAACUGUCGGGCUAGAGGAUGGGAGAGGUGAGUGGAAUUUCCAGUGUAGCGGUGAAAUGCGUAGAUAUCGGAAGGAACACCUGUGACGAAAGCGGCUUACUGGACCAUUUCUGACGCUGAUGCACGAAAGCUAGGGGAGCAAAUGGGAUUAGAUACCCCUGUAGUCCCUGUCUCUUAUAC